Molecule: ribosomal RNA, 329 nt
Filed under: uncultured Leptolinea sp.
Lineage: Bacteria; Bacillati; Chloroflexota; Anaerolineae; Anaerolineales; Anaerolineaceae
Description: bacterial SSU rRNA
Rfam family: Bacterial small subunit ribosomal RNA
Source: RNAcentral
UGCUGCAUGGCUGUCGUCAGCUCGUGUCGUGAGAUGUCGGUUAAGUCCGCUAACGAGCGCAACCCUCACUGUGUGUUAUAUGUGUCACACGGGACCGCCGGUCUUAAAGCCGGAGGAAGGUGGGGAUGACGUCAAGUCAGCAUGGCCUUUAUAUCCUGGGCUACACACACGCUACAAUGGCCAACACAAUAGGUUGCUAAGCCGCGAGGUGGAGCCAAUCCAUAAAGUUGGUCUCAGUUCAGAUUGUAGGCUGCAACCCGCCUGCAUGAAGAUGGAGUUGCUAGUAACCGCAGGUCAGCUAUACUGCGGUGAAUACGUUCCCGGGGCUU